This 394-nucleotide ribosomal RNA is filed under the name uncultured bacterium. RNAcentral's name for it is "bacterial SSU rRNA". It matches the Rfam family "Bacterial small subunit ribosomal RNA", at positions 28 to 416 of the family's 1533-position model. The record is from RNAcentral.
GACGAACGCUGACGGUGUGCUUUAGACAUGCAAGUCGAACGCGAAAGCCCUUCGGGUGAGUAGAGUGGCGAACGGGUGAGUAACACGUGGGCAAUCUGCCCCUCGCAGGGGGACAACCGGAGGAAACUCCGGCUAAUACCCCGUACGCUUGUAGGAUCGCAUGAUCAUACAAGGAAAGGUAGCUUCGGCCAUCCGGCGAGGGAUGAGCCCGCGGUGCAUUAGCUAGUUGGUGGGGUAACGGCCCACCAAGGCGACGAUGCAUAGCUGGUCUGAGAGGAUGAUCAGCCACACUGGGACUGAGACACGGCCCAGACUCCUACGGGAGGCAGCAGUCGGGAAUCUUGCGCAAUGGGCGAAAGCCUGACGCAGCAACACCGUGUGAGCGACGAAGGCC